Molecule: ribosomal RNA, 354 nt
Filed under: uncultured archaeon
Lineage: Archaea
Description: bacterial SSU rRNA
Rfam family: Archaeal small subunit ribosomal RNA
Source: RNAcentral
ACGUCCGACGGUGAGGGGUGAAAGCUGGGGGAGCAAACCGGAUUAGAUACCCGGGUAGUCCCAGCUGUAAACGAUGCGCGUUAGGUGUAUCAGUGACCACGAGUCACUGAGGUGCCGAAGAGAAAUCGUGAAACGUGCCGCCUGGGAAGUACGGUCGCAAGGCUGAAACUUAAAGGAAUUGGCGGGGAGCACCACAACAGGUGGAGCCUGCGGUUUAAUCGGACUCAACGCCGGAAAUCUCACCAGAUAAGACAGCUGAAUGAUAGUCGGGCUGAAGACUCUACUUGACUAGCUGAGAGGAGGUGCAUGGCCGUCGUCAGUUCGUACUGUGAAGCAUCCUGUUAAGUCAGGCAA